RNAcentral lists this ribosomal RNA (88 nucleotides) under Oryzias latipes (Japanese medaka). Lineage: Eukaryota; Metazoa; Chordata; Actinopteri; Beloniformes; Adrianichthyidae. The record is from RNAcentral.
AUGUGCAGCCAUACCACCCUGAUCACGCCCAAACUCGGAAGCUAAGCAGGUUAGUACUUGGAUGGGAGACUGCCUGGUGCUGUAAAAA